This 857-nucleotide long non-coding RNA is filed under the name Equus caballus (horse). RNAcentral's name for it is "lncRNA (ENSECAG00000050379.1)". The record is from RNAcentral. Lineage: Eukaryota; Metazoa; Chordata; Mammalia; Perissodactyla; Equidae.
GGACUAGAAGCCAAGCUGUGUGGCUGCAGAAUCUGGGCUCUGAAUUAACACACCGGGUACGAGCCCGCGCCCCACUGUCCGGCACCGAGGAGACUAGCUGUCUCUUCUCUCCCAGCUCAGGGCGGGGCUUUACCUAGAGCUGGAGUCAAAACACACACACCGCUAAGGGCCAGAAAGACCCUGCUGGUGGAGACAGAAAUCAUUGAUCAAGGAGGAAAAAUUGAGUAAAGACAUGAAAACUACUUAACUGGAAAAGGUGAUUAGACAGCAGAGUGGAAUUGAUGAUUUGGUGCCUCCUUUUCCCUGGACCAUCAUUCCGAGAGACCACACACAGUUAUGACAUAAAGUCCAGCUGAAACGUUCAUUCCAGAUCUCUCUGAAUGGGAUACAUUCAGGCUCAGGGAGCCGCUCUUAACUGACGGUGUUGCCUAGGACAGAGAGCUGUGGAGCAGCGGGGACCAGGAAUUCUGAGUGUAGCCACCACUCGCUCACUUCACAUUUGACACAUACGCAGUGUCUCCUGUUGGCUGAACCCAACGACAAGCCAGACGGCCAGGGAAACUAGGGGAUGCAGUCAGUAAAGGUCAACCUCGUGGGACACUGCAGAGAAAACAGUGAAGAACCAUUCUGGAGGGACGAUGGAGCAGCAUCUCCAUCAUCUACUCUGUGGGCAGCAACUCUACUUUUACGAAUAUUAUCCAAGGCACAUAAUCAGAGAAAAAGUUCACUGCAGGCCAAUCUGCUUUCCUGGUCUGAAAAGAGCCCAUGUGUCAGUCUGUCUACAGAGCUGUGUCGCUUAAGCACAGGGCAAGGCUGGGAAGGACUGUUGACUAUGGGCUCGGGAGGGGAGGCACCGC